RNAcentral lists this long non-coding RNA (1982 nucleotides) under Elaeis guineensis (African oil palm). Its description in RNAcentral is "long non-coding RNA (EGUI_LNC015533)". Lineage: Eukaryota; Viridiplantae; Streptophyta; Magnoliopsida; Arecales; Arecaceae. The record is from RNAcentral.
UGGAAUGAGAUGUUGGGUUCUCACCAAUUGGCUCUCCUGAUGGGACCUACUUCAUUUUCAGGUGGGAGUUGCAACAUAUACCCAAAUUUGCUAGUUGUCACAAUGUGAGGCACUCACUACCAAACUUUGAUAGUGUAAGGUAUGUAGCUUAACCAAACCUUGGGACAAUAGUGAUAGAGAUGCCAAGUCCACUUCCCCCUGCCCCACCCUAUUGGGAUGCAAGAGAUGGAUACCUUGCAAAGAUGGCCAUGCUUUACACUGAAUUCCAUGCAACCAUGAUGAGAUUACCCUAAAAUUCUCACCUUCCAAACACCAACCCCACCUCCCCAUCUACGUCCUCUCUCACUGUUCUUAUAUUAACAACACAAGCAGUGACUCCCCUCCUCCACAUACUUGAAAGGCUAUUACCACAUGGAGACCGACCCAUCUCCAUGGCGCUCAGCAUGCGUCCCAGGCUGCAUGGCCUCUCCAUCAUGGUUCCCGGUGUAUAGAAAUCCCUCUCGCUUCCACCUCCUCGGCCACGAGACCACCGAAAGGAGCCGGAGCUGGCGAAAGCUCCUCAAGAGAUUGUUGAAGGAAGGGAAGAGCAUAUGCUGCACCGAACCCCUCAAAUUUGGUUAUGAUGCAGUCAGUUACUCUAAAAACUUUGAUGAUGGUUGCUGGAAUGAGAGAUCUGGUUAGUGUUUCAAGGAUGCCGGUUGGUGGUGAAUGCGAGCUUCCUAAAGCUUUUUGUUACUGUUUUUGAUUUUAUUCGAAGGUUUAUAUGGUCUUUGGAUGAUGUUGGAUUGUGGGUGUUACUCUUUUAUAUUAGAUGGUAAUGUUGCUACUUACGAUGUCGCAGAUAUUCUCCUCUUCCUCCUAAUUAAGCAAGCUUCUAAUGCAUAGUUUUGAACAACAAAUAAUGUGUAAAUUAAACCAUUUCUAAACAGGAAAAAAUGAUUCUAUUUUACUGACUGGAAAAAAAAUCUACAGAAUUUUAGGCGUAUUGUCCAGAGGAUCAUAAUUGCAUUGAUUGUUUAUAUAGCAACUCAAUGACAUGAGCAAAUAAAGCAACCCGAAGAGUCAUCAACCUGAGAAGCCAAUGCAAUGAAACCUAUAAUGUGAUCUUUACAUUUUAAAUGGCAAGUUCAUGAACCCUUAACAAGUUUGAGCAGUUAACACAGAAUAGCAUUUCACUAUCCAUUAUCUAAGACGGUGGUAAAGGAAAAAACCAGUUAAAAUAACAUUUCAGUUUAAAGUACAGAAUUCUAUUACCAUCAAUCACUAAAAGUUGUGAUUCACAAGAAUCUGUCAGUGUUUCUGAUUACGGUGCAGCAUCUGGAAAAGAGAAGCUUUAUAAAAUUAUAACAACAGUGUUUAACAUCAGAAAAAUAGUUCGACGAUCACACCAAAACUUAUGAACUGAUAUUCAGUCAUUACUACAUGUCAUAAAGCAGAGGCUGAAUUCCUGGAUCUUGGAACCUCAAAUUAUCAAGCUUUAUCUUUAAACAAUCUAAAAAACAAAAUAAAACGAGAUGGUGAAUGAUUACUUUUCUAACUCAUUAUGUAUCAUUGCAAGGCCUUGAAAUAGUAAGGCUGGCAGAGACGGUCAAGAGCAUGAAUCAGCUUCCUUCUUGGCCCAACUGCAUGGGCUCCCAUGUCUUUGAGUUUGCUCAUUGUGAGACUGACCAACUGAUAGACACCUAGUUUUUCCCUCUCAAAAAUUUUUAUGAAUCGAUCAAGACCCUGAUACACCAGCCAAUUUCUCAGUCCACCAAACCCUUUGAGCUCCCUUUCAAGGUUCAAUGCUCGCAUUCGCUGAUUCACAACAUGUAAUGCACCAACUGGCAGCCUUGGGGCACCUCCAAUCAUUCCUGAGGGUCUGAUUGUUCUUCUUCUGUCAGGGACUGCAACAUUUCCAUCACCAGUAAAAUGAAGUAAAGAUGCCCGUUGCAAUAAUGGGUUUCCAAAAACGUCACCAGAACCAUUAGCCAGGGUUUGAU